Molecule: ribosomal RNA, 1987 nt
Filed under: Pleurotus platypus
Lineage: Eukaryota; Fungi; Basidiomycota; Agaricomycetes; Agaricales; Pleurotaceae
Description: LSU rRNA
Rfam family: Bacterial large subunit ribosomal RNA
Source: RNAcentral
AAAAGUAAUUCAAAGGGGUUAUUAAGGAUAGCACAAGCAAAUUUAUAAAAAAGGAGGUGUCAACCAAAUGCUUUCAUAAUAUUAAAUUAUUUAUCGUGAAAGCGAUCCUAAGGGAAACCUUUUAAUUAAUACUUCCUGAAGUAAAACAUUUUAGUAAGGAAAGGAAAGGAAAUCAACCGAGACUCCGAAAGUAAUGGUGAGUGAAAUCGGAUUAGCCUAAGAUUAUCUUUUAUAAAUUGAAUAAAUUAACUCUUUUUUAUAAUAUUCUUAAUUAAAUUUAUACCAAUAAACUUAAAUAAGUAAUAUGAAAUCAAGAACUUAAUUUACAAAUAAUUUUAUUUCAAAUAAAAAAAAUUUGUUCAAAGAAGGUUAAAAACAAUAAGUCCUGUAGAUUUAUAAAAAAAUAAUAUAAUAAGUACGAUGAGAGUUAACUUGUCGGAAUAUAGGGGAACCAUCCUCUAAGGCUAAGUAUUAUAAAUUUAGCGAUAGUGAAAAAGUACUGUAAAGGAAAAGUUUGAAAAGCAAUGGUUUAAAGAAACAUAAGAGUAAUUAUUAAAAUUUAAAUAAUAUCUAAAAAAUAUUAUACUUUAAUAAAUGCCGGUGAAAUAGAUCUUGAAUUAGUAACUCUAUAAGCAGUCGAAAUUUAAAACAAAAAAUGACGGCGUACCUUUUGCAUAAUGGGUCAGCAAGUUAAUAGGAGUAGCAAGGUUAAAAGCCCUAGCGAAAGCGACUGGACUAUAAUUAUAAAAAGUGUCAAGUUUUUCAUAAGAAAAUAUAGUGAUGGAUAAGUUACUUCUAUUAGACCCGAAGCCAGGUGAUCUUACUAAGACCAGAUUAUAAUGGAUCGAACGGGUGAAUGUUGCAUAAUUCUCCGAUGAGUUUUAGUAAGCGGUGAAAUGCCAAUCUGACCUGGUGCUAUCUGGUUUUCUACCGAAACAUAUUUAAGUAUGACAUCUACACAAAAUUUAUGGAGGUACAGCAAGGCAAUUCCCAACAAGUAUAAGAGUCAUUAUUUACAAAUAAUUUCGUCUUAUAGGCGUUUAGGUUGUGGGGACCUCGAAAAUCUUACCUAUGGAAGCGAAUCUCGGAAGUACAUAAAUUGAUGGUAGAUAUUCAGACUAUCCAUGCUAAGUUGGAUAGUCAAGACGGAAACAGCCGAGAACAUUGAUCAAGGUCCCAAAUGAUUAUUAAGUGAAAUUAAGGAUGUUUAAAAUCGGAUACAGCUGUGAAGUGAGCUUGGAAGUAGCUUCUUAUAAUGAUCGUAUGUAACAACGCAUCAGCAGUCUAGAUUGUAGCGCCGAAAAUUUAACGGGUCUAAAAUAAUCAACCGAUAUCGUGUUGGUUUUAAAUAAUAAUAAAAAUAAAAAAUAAAAAUAAAUAAAUAAAUAAAUAAAAUAAAAAGUUUUUCUUUUUUAAAAUUCUUAUUUUAAACCUAGGUAGUAGAACAUUCAGUCAAACUAUUUAUAAAACAGUGUUUCAUUGUUUUUAGGUAACUGAAGAGAGAAUGCUGACAUGAGUAACGUAAAAAGAAGUUAUAAUACUUCUCGCCGAAUACGAAAGGGUUGUAAGUGAAAGGUUAAUCCGCCUUACGUGAAUGCGGCCUCUAAGGACUAGAACGAAAGUUUUGGCUGAUGAGUAUAUAAUAGAAAAUCCAUUUUUUGGAUCAGGAAAUUAAUAUGAGAUAAAAUUUUAUUUUUAUCUGUAAGAACUUAAUUUUAUUUUUAAUAGGUGUAAAUUUUACAAAUUUUAUAGUAACCUUUAUUCUUUUUAUUUUUUAAAUAAGAAAAUAGAAAAAUCAAAUUAAGACUACCGUACCCUAAACCGACACAGGUUCGUAGGUAGAGAAUACUAAGGCGUAGAGCUAAAAGUUGUUAAGGAACUCGGCAAAUUAACCUGCAUUGUGUUCUUGGAAAACACAUAAGUGGGUCAAACCAUCAAACUCCGGGGACACCCUAAAGGUCCUGAUACCAAGCUAUAGUCGAAAGGU